Long non-coding RNA from Brachypodium distachyon (stiff brome), 1326 nucleotides. RefSeq lists it as uncharacterized. The record is from RefSeq and is a predicted model, not a curated record. NCBI's taxonomy places the organism in Eukaryota, Viridiplantae, Streptophyta, Magnoliopsida, Poales, Poaceae. The transcript has 3 exons.
UCCUUUGAAAUCAAGAUAUACGUUUCAUGUGUGUGUUGAAUUAUUGACCGGCCCUUGAAGCUGUCACGAAGUAAUCAAGGCAAUUUGGGCUUAGCAUCGCCAUCACCAUCUCCUUGUCAUGCAUCCGUUUAGCUUCGUGUUGGUCAGAAUUUGUCAAAGCAGCAAGCAGCAGCCGAAGAGGAGUUAGCCUUGCGGCGUGAUGAGCAACCUUAUCCAUGAGCUGAAGGCUGAAGUAGGAUCUAUCAGGUGCGCGACCGGCGCUCCCGGUGGGAGUAGCCCCCGAGUCCUGUUGCGACUGUGAGGAGUCGUGACUGGACUCAAGUUGAAGUCAUUGGGUCUUGUAAUCUUGUGUAAUCUUUGUAUUUUUUGAGUAAAAUAUCUGCUCCCGUUGGAAAACGGCUUGAAGGCUUCAAACGUGACUUGAACUCUGAUUCCUGGUAGGAGUUGAAUAUGAACUCGGUUUGAAUUCCGAUUCCUGAUAGGAGUAGCCCCCGAGUGUGUGGCUGGCUAUAAGUAGUCAGGCACAGACUCAGGUUUUAAUCCAGCCAAAGUAGUAGCACGCUUGCGAUGAGUUCCCCAGAUGCUCUUGAGGUGAUGUGCACGUGAUUGAAGUACGCGGAGCGGCAAGUUCUGAUUGCUCGUGAUGAAAUUGCUGUGCUCGAGUCGAAGCUCCAGGCUGCUUCGAGUCGAGAGGGCUUUCUUCUUGGAGAACUGGUGAAGCUGAGUCACGAUCUCAGAGGGAUUGUGCCGGAGCCGCAUGCUGAAGCUGAGAGAGUCAAGAAUCGGCUGAACCGCAUUUUGUAUUCGGGUCCUGCUGCCCCAAUCUUUUGGUCCAAUCGUGACAGAGGGUACACAUUGGCACUGCUGCAAGACCGAGUUUCUUGGGCUGUGACCUGCCUUGAGUCGUGUCAAGAUUGCUUGACAACUGAGCACAAUAUCCUGUUUCCAGAACUGACGAGUCCAAAAGAUCUGAAAGGUUUGAUCCAGAGAUUUCGUGGAGGUGACUCGGUAAAGGGGGUUUUGCUGGAACAAAUGACGGAAGGGGCAGUUGUGGCCCUUGCGUUUGUUCGGCUUCGCUACCCUUCACUCGAUUUAGAGAUGUUGCAUGUUCCACCUCCAUCGGCGCCAAAAGAUCUCCCACUGGGACCACUUUACGAUGCAGUGGAGCUCGUGGCUCGCUAGCUGAUCGUGGCCGUGGUAUUAGAGUAGAAUUUCUCCUUAAGUGCAAUUGUAGGCUUGGAGCCUGUCGGGUGCGCGACCAGCGCUCCCGACGGGAGUAGCCCCCGGGUCUAUGAGCAACUGUUUGCAGUCGGGGGUAGACCCAAG